This 427-nucleotide ribosomal RNA is filed under the name uncultured bacterium. RNAcentral describes it as "partial 16S ribosomal RNA". It matches the Rfam family "Bacterial small subunit ribosomal RNA", at positions 355 to 774 of the family's 1533-position model. The record is from RNAcentral.
UGGGGAAUAUUGGACAAUGGGCGAAAGCCUGAUCCAGCCAUGCCGCGUGUGUGAAGAAGGUCUUCGGAUUGUAAAGCACUUUAAGUUGGGAGGAAGGGCAUUAACCUAAUACGUUAGUGUUUUGACGUUACCGACAGAAUAAGCACCGGCUAACUCUGUGCCAGCAGCCGCGGUAAUACAGAGGGUGCAAGCGUUAAUCGGAAUUACUGGGCGUAAAGCGCGCGUAGGUGGUUUGUUAAGUUGGAUGUGAAAUCCCCGGGCUCAACCUGGGAACUGCAUUUAAAACUGACUGACUAGAGUAUGGUAGAGGGUGGUGGAAUUUCCUGUGUAGCGGUGAAAUGCGUAGAUAUAGGAAGGAACACCAGUGGCGAAGGCGACCACCUGGACUAAUACUGACACUGAGGUGCGAAAGCGUGGGGAGCAAACA